This 437-nucleotide ribosomal RNA is filed under the name uncultured Oscillospiraceae bacterium. RNAcentral's name for it is "partial 16S ribosomal RNA". It matches the Rfam family "Bacterial small subunit ribosomal RNA", at positions 341 to 792 of the family's 1533-position model. The record is from RNAcentral. Lineage: Bacteria; Bacillati; Bacillota; Clostridia; Eubacteriales; Oscillospiraceae.
ACGGAAGGCAGCAGUGGGGAAUAUUGGGCAAUGGGCGCAAGCCUGACCCAGCAACGCCGCGUGAAGGAAGAAGGCUUUCGGGUUGUAAACUUCUUUUAUCAGGGACGAAGGACGUGACGGUACAUGGAGAAAAAGCAACGGCUAACUACGUGCCAGCAGCCGCGGUAAUACGUAGGUUGCAAGCGUUGUCCGGAUUUACUGGGUGUAAAGGGCGUGUAGGCGGAGCUGUAAGUCAGAUGUGAAAUCCCGGGGCUCAACCCCGGAAUUGCAUUUGAAACUGUAGCACUUGAGUAUCGGAGAGGCAAGCGGAAUUCCUAGUGUAGCGGUGAAAUGCGUAGAUAUUAGGAGGAACACCAGUGGCGAAGGCGGCUUGCUGGACGACAACUGACGUUGAGGCGCGAAAGCGUGGGGAGCAAACAGGAUUAGAUACCCUGGUA